Molecule: long non-coding RNA, 2296 nt
Organism: Triticum aestivum (bread wheat)
Lineage: Eukaryota; Viridiplantae; Streptophyta; Magnoliopsida; Poales; Poaceae
Exons: 3
Source: RefSeq, a predicted model, not a curated record
CACCCAGUCACGGACGAGGCUGCCGCCUCCGUUCAUCGUUGGGCUUGUCGUCGCCGCCACCAUACGCGGGAUUCGUCUUCAGCGCGACCCUGUCUCCUUUCCAGGCCGCCGGCCGCUCCCUCCAGAUCCGACGCUCGCCUUAUCCUUGUCCAGAUCCGCCUCUUUCGAGGUUACCGGCGACCCUCUCCGUAUUCAGCACUUAGGGGUAGCUCAAUUUUCUUGAAUUCAACAGUGAGUUCUUCCGGUAAUUAUUUGGAUUCGCUCUAGUGUUACGAGCAUCUUGCCGUUCAUGAUUAAUAUUACUCCGCUAAAUCCAAUUAACUCGCGUCAAUAUCGGGCGCGCGCCGUUUAGAUCGGAUCUGUCCCGCCAUGCCUAACAAUGGAAUGGAAUCCGUGGCGGAGGGGGACGAUUGUGAUGGUCUUCUCCGACUCUGCCUCAUCUCCGUGUGUCUCUCUCUCUCUUACCUUGAUAAGUAUAUCUAGCCGCAAGGCCGACCCGCCGUCUCCAUAACUUGUUCUGUAAACUGCUGCAAGGCCUCAACAAGUCGCUAGCUAUAGAUAGGACUUCAAGUUUGGCUGUUCCAGCAAGUAUUUGUGCAACAAAACAAACCUAGGCUGUCUGGCUGCAGCCUUGCAUCCAUCUGCUGCGGCAUCCAAUCAAAUCAUGGUUUUGCAGAGCCAAGAUGCCCAAGACAGAAUCAGUGCGCUCCCUAGCGACAUCCUUAUCCGAAUCCUUGAACUCCUUCCGAUGCGCAGUGCGAUUCGGACCGGAUCGCUCUCCAAACGGUGGAGACACCUCCCUCGCCAGCUCUCUUGUCUGCUCAUAGGUGUAUCGGACAUUCAGAGCGCUACCUACGUCACGCUAGGCCAGAUCAUGGGGGCGUACACAGAAACGACGAGGAGAUUGCUAUCGUCCACAUGCGAAUGCGGCAGCCGUUCCAUCAAGAGCCUGAGACUUACCUUUUACCUUUCAAAACAUUUCUUGUGCUCUAUUGGCCAUGCCGUCGGGGAUGUAGCCAGGAACGGCGACACUGAAUGCCUCGAGUUUGUGAUAUUCACGCAUCUUGCGAGACCAAGCAAUGCUCAACGUGUCUUGUUCAGACAGCGCUUCAUGUCUUUCUUCCACUCUUGCCCAGUCGCCUUCAGAUGGCUCACAAGACUAACUCUCCACAACCUUGCAUUUGGAGACUCGGAUGUCCCCAAUCUCCUCAAUGCUUGCGAUAAGCUUCAGUUCCUUAACUUGAGAUGCUGCAAAUUGGGUCCGAAAUCUGUCCUCAGCAUAGACGCCCCGUCAUCAGAGCUCCAGAAACUUGAAUUGUUUUGCUUUGAGUGUGUGCGGGUUGAUCUAGCAAGUCUUCCUAAGCUGAAGCAAGUGCUCUGUGAUACUUGGUGGGCUGUGACCACACCUAUGUCUUGUGGCUUUGUUCCCCAACUUGAGAAAGUAAGCCUCGCCUCUGCUGCCUGUCUGGGCAGAAGCCAUUCACAUUGAGCAAGUGUUUAUCUAGUAGUAGUACAAGAAGCCUCUCGUCCUUGUGUCUGGAUUUUUGCUCUCAGAUGAUCUGGAUUCAACCGGAAGAUCCUAAACAGCUCACACGUAUAUUCAGUAGCCUUAGAGAUGUUUAUAUCUAUAAUGUCUUUGCUGAGUGUGAUUUGAAUUGGACAUUCUUUAUCCUUAAAGCUGCACCUUCACUGAAGAACUUCUAUUUAUCUCGACACUCUUGUGAACCCAACAAGUUUGACGAUAUUGCCAAAAAGACCGACUUGGUGUGGGAAACCUCCAGUUUCAAGCAUUUGAACUUGAAGCUGCUGUUCAUGAAAGGGUUUUCGAAGGAUGAGAAGGUGAUGAACUAUAUAAGACUUGUCAUGAAAAGAUCUAUGGGCUUGAAGAGAAUCGAACUGCAUGAUAAAGACCCAUGUGAGGAGUGCAAAGCCAUAUCCCCCGAGUGUUUAAGGUUUCCUGUGCAUGAAUCUAGCAAGCGUCGGAUUAAGGAGCAACUCACAUAUGGAUUCUCCUUAGAUGUGGAGAUAAUAAUGGGAUGAUGCAUAUGAUCAAGCAGUGCGCAGAACCACGUCAGUUGCUUAGCACGCCCAUUAAUAAGGGAUAUAUAUAUAGAGAGAGAGAGAAUAGGUGCGAGCAUAUGUAGGCUUACUUUUUGACUUUUUCAGAGACAAGGUGAGUGCCCGUGUGUUGCAACAGGAGCCAAAAAAAUUCAUGUUUACAAUCAAGGUAUUGGGUUAAACUAACACUUGUUAUUGUAAUUUUUUACACACAUAUUUAGUAGGUCAAUGUGUAGAA